Molecule: non-coding RNA, 372 nt
Organism: Budorcas taxicolor (takin)
Lineage: Eukaryota; Metazoa; Chordata; Mammalia; Artiodactyla; Bovidae
Source: the annotation of a RefSeq genome assembly
AUGGGUGUCCUGACUCAACUCUCCAGCCUUCUGUUCUUCUGGUUCCCAGCUGCCAGCGGGGAGGCUGUGCUCUACCAGACUCCAGCCUACAUCGCUGUACCCCUAGGAGAGAGCAUCUCCAUCACUUGCAGAGCCAAUCAAAGCAUUAGUGAUUACUUAAGCUGGCAUAAGCAGAAACCUGGCCAGGCUCCUAUGAUUCUCAUCUAUGAUGCUGAUAAUCGUCGUAAUGGUGUCCCAGAGAGGUUCACUGCGACUCAAUCUGGGACAGAAUUUGUUUUCACAAUCAGCCAGGUAGAGGCUGAUGAUGCUGCCAUGUAUUACUGCCAGCAGUCUUAUGUGCUUCCUCCCACACUGUUACAGCCCCGGACAUAA